This 502-nucleotide ribosomal RNA is filed under the name uncultured bacterium. RNAcentral's name for it is "bacterial SSU rRNA". It matches the Rfam family "Bacterial small subunit ribosomal RNA", at positions 28 to 525 of the family's 1533-position model. The record is from RNAcentral.
GAUGAACGCUAGCGGCAGGCCUAAUACAUGCAAGACGAACGGUAAGUUGAGUAGCAAUACUUAGCCAAGAGUGUCGUACGGGUGCGUAACACGUAUGCAACCUACCCUAUACAGGAGGAUAGCCUAGGGAAACCUGGAUUAACCCUUCAUAGUAUUAUUGGAUGGCAUCAUUUGAUAAUUAAAACUGAGGUGGUAUAGGAUGGGCAUGCGUCUGAUUAGUUAGUUGGCGGGGUAAUGGCCCACCAAGACGAUGAUCAGUAGGGGUUCUGAGAGGAAGAUCCCCCACACUGGCACUGAGAUACGGGCCAGACUCCUACGGGAGGCAGCAGUAGGGAAUAUUGGUCAAUGGAUGCAAGUCUGAACCAGCCAUGCCGCGUGCAGGAAGAAGGCCUUCUGGGUUGUAAACUGCUUUUUGCCAGGGGAUAAAAUUUCCAUGCGUGGAAAACUGAAGGUACCUGGUGAAUAAGCCACGGCUAACUACGUGCCAGCAGCCGCGGUAAAU